CCCGCCGCCCUCCUGAUGCUGCUCGUGAACGCCGAUCGGCCGGAGCCCGUGGGAGCUCGCGCUCUUCCUGACCCCCGAGCCUGGGGCCGAGGCGAAGGAGGUGGAGGAGACCAUCGAGGGCAUGCUCCUCAGGCUGGAAGAGUUUUGCAGCCUGGCUGACCUGAUCAGGAGUGAUACGUCACAGAUCCUGGAGGAAAACAUCCCAGUCCUUAAGGCCAAACUGACAGAAAUGCGUGGCAUCUCCGCCAAAGUGGACCGGCUAGAGGCCUUCGUCAAGAUGGUCGGACACCAUGUUGCGUUCCUGGAAGCGGACGUACUUCAGGCUGAGCGGGACCAUGGGGCCUUCCCGCAGGCCCUGCGGAGGUGGCUGGGAUCCGCAGGGCUCCCCUCCUUCAGGAACAAGUCGCCUGCGCCAGUACCCGUGACGUAUGAGCUGCCCACACUAUACAGGACGGAGGACUAUUUUCCUGCGGACGCCAGGGAGGCACAGCACCACCCCUGCACCUGCCCUCGGCCUUUGUGAGCUUUGUGGUCUUCCCAUCAGGAAUGCUGGAAAAGUGACAUUGUGUACAUGCUGCAGCUUGGGGGUUUUUUCUUUGUAUUGCUGUUUAUUUUAUAUUUUAAAGAGAUUUUUUUAAAUGUCGAGAUGGGCUCUCACUAUGUUGUCCAGGCUGAUCUCAAACUCCUCGGCUCAAGUGAUCCACCUGCCUUGGCCUUCCGAAGUGGUGGGAUCACGGGCAGCAGCCUCCGCACCCAGGCUGCUGCCAUUUUCAGAUUUCCUCCCUGCCUCAUGUGAGACUACAGGGUUUGGAGAAGCAGU
Molecule: non-coding RNA, 820 nt
Organism: Chlorocebus sabaeus (green monkey)
Lineage: Eukaryota; Metazoa; Chordata; Mammalia; Primates; Cercopithecidae
Source: RefSeq, a predicted model, not a curated record